Molecule: ribosomal RNA, 891 nt
Filed under: uncultured bacterium
Lineage: Bacteria
Description: bacterial SSU rRNA
Rfam family: Bacterial small subunit ribosomal RNA
Source: RNAcentral
ACGGUAGAGGGGGCAACCCCUUGAGAGUGGCGAACGGGUGAGUAAUGUAUCGGAACGUGCCCAGUCGUGGGGGAUAACGUAGUGAAAAUUACGCUAAUACCGCAUACGAUCUAUGGAUGAAAGCGGGGGAUCGCAAGACCUCGCGCGAUUGGAGCGGCCGAUAUCAGAUUAGGUAGUUGGUGGGGUAAAGGCUCACCAAGCCAACGAUCUGUAGCUGGUCUGAGAGGACGACCAGCCACACUGGAACUGAGACACGGUCCAGACUCCUACGGGAGGCAGCAGUGGGGAAUUUUGGACAAUGGACGCAAGUCUGAUCCAGCCAUUCCGCGUGCAGGACGAAGGCCUUCGGGUUGUAAACUGCUUUUGUACGGAACGAAAAAGCUCUUAUCAAUACUAGGAGUCCAUGACGGUACCGUAAGAAUAAGCACCGGCUAACUACGUGCCAGCAGCCGCGGUAAUACGUAGGGUGCAAGCGUUAAUCGGAAUUACUGGGCGUAAAGCGUGCGCAGGCGGUUAUAUAAGACAGAUGUGAAAUCCCCGAGCUUAACUUGGGAACUGCAUUUGUGACUGUAUAGCUAGAGUACGGCAGAGGGGGAUGGAAUUCCGCGUGUAGCAGUGAAAUGCGUAGAUAUGCGGAGGAACCCCGAUGGCGAAGGCAAUCCCCUGGGCCUGUACUGACGCUCAUGCACGAAAGCGUGGGGAGCAAACAGGAUUAGAUACCCUGGUAGUCCACGCCCUAAACGAUGUCAACUGGUUGUUGGGUCUCCCUGACUCAGUAACGAAACUAACGCGUGAAGUUGACCGCCUGGGGAGUACGGCCGCCAGGUGAAACUCAAGGAAUUGACGGGGACCCCCACCACCGUUGAAUGAGGUGGUUUAAUUCGAUGCAAC